GAGGGGCGGUUCAACCAACAAGAACUGCUA
RNAcentral lists this transfer RNA (30 nucleotides) under Pinguinus impennis (great auk). Its description in RNAcentral is "partial tRNA-Ser". The record is from RNAcentral. Lineage: Eukaryota; Metazoa; Chordata; Aves; Charadriiformes; Laridae.